GUGCUCGUUUCGGCAGCACAUAUACUAAAAUUGGAAUGAUACAGAGAAGAUUAGCAUGGCCCCUGCGCAAUGAUGACAUGCAAAUUCAUGAAGCAUUCCAUAUUUUU
This 107-nucleotide small nuclear RNA is filed under the name Physeter macrocephalus (sperm whale). The record is from RNAcentral. Lineage: Eukaryota; Metazoa; Chordata; Mammalia; Artiodactyla; Physeteridae.